UACGUAGGGGGCAAGCGUUGUCCGGAAUCAUUGGGCGUAAAGAGCGUGUAGGCGGCUCGAUAAGUCUGCUGUGAAAGUCCAGGGCUCAACCCUGGAAGGCCGGUGGAAACUGUCGGGCUAGAGUCCGGAAGAGGCGAGUGGAAUUCCCGGUGUAGCGGUGAAAUGCGCAGAUAUCGGGAGGAACACCAAUGGCGAAGGCAGCUCGCUGGGGCGGUACUGACGCUGAGACGCGAAAGCGUGGGGAGCAAACAGG
This 253-nucleotide ribosomal RNA is filed under the name uncultured bacterium. Its description in RNAcentral is "partial 16S ribosomal RNA". It matches the Rfam family "Bacterial small subunit ribosomal RNA", at positions 524 to 776 of the family's 1533-position model. The record is from RNAcentral.